Long non-coding RNA from Panicum virgatum (switchgrass), 761 nucleotides. RefSeq lists it as uncharacterized. NCBI's taxonomy places the organism in Eukaryota, Viridiplantae, Streptophyta, Magnoliopsida, Poales, Poaceae. The record is from RefSeq and is a predicted model, not a curated record. The transcript has 2 exons.
ACAUUUUUUUGGAACGCAACUAGGAGGAGAUAUUCCCACCUGGAAAUUUCAUUCAAAAAGGACACGAAAGGUUUAAGUUUAACAUAAUGAUGAGACCAAACAUCAAGUCAUCGCAUACUGUGGAGAUAUACGGCGACAACUGAAAUCCUGAGCACGGAACGUGAAGCCAUUUCUUAUUUUCCAUGUAUGCCGCAAGAUGGUUAGCAAGAGUCACCAGUGGUGGAGCCAGCCCCAGCAUUCUUGGGGUAAGCCCCCCUACCCCCCCACCCCAACGCUGGCUCCGCCCCCUAAGCAGGACGAAGGCCAGACUUGCUGCGGAGAAGACCCGAGCAAAACAAAUCCAAGCUGAAGCAAAUCUCCUUCCCACUCCCCUUGCUCGCCUACUCCUCCCUACUCGAAGUGCGGCGAGAUCACCGGUGAUCUAUCAUUCCCUCGCUGACUUACUCUCUGGGAAUAGGGAUGGAGGUAGCACCAACCUUCGUAGCAGAUUGAUCUGAUGCCUUAGCUGCUCCGACACACCAGAUGUUGGAUGAGCAAGCCUACACCUCUAGUAAGAGGUCAUGAAUGUGUGGGGCAUUUACCUUAUGUGGGUGAUUAGACAGAUUAUCUUUUGUCACGACUCUAAUUUAUCCAUUUGUACGAAGAUUAUUAUCUGAACAAGGGUGUUUGUUCAUUAUCUUUGAACUCCUUAGGUAUUGGCUUCACAACCUGUGUGGCUGUACUAAGUACUCUAUUAAUAAUUAUAUAUUGCUUGUACAGUA